RNAcentral lists this ribosomal RNA (253 nucleotides) under uncultured bacterium. Its description in RNAcentral is "partial 16S ribosomal RNA". It matches the Rfam family "Bacterial small subunit ribosomal RNA", at positions 524 to 776 of the family's 1533-position model. The record is from RNAcentral.
UACGGGGGGGGCAAGUGUUGUUCGGAAUUACUGGGCGUAAAGGGCUCGUAGGCGGCCAACUCAGUCGGACGUGAAAUCCCUCGGCUUAACUGGGGAACUGCGUGUGAUACUGGAUGGCUUGGAUUUGGGAGAGGGAUGCGGAAUUCCAGGUGUAGCGGUGAAAUGCGUAGAUAUCUGGAGGAACACCGGUGGCGAAGGCGGCAUCCUGGACCAAUAUUGACGCUGAGGAGCGAAAGCCAGGGGAGCAAACGGG